This 270-nucleotide ribosomal RNA is filed under the name uncultured archaeon. RNAcentral's name for it is "partial 16S ribosomal RNA". It matches the Rfam family "Archaeal small subunit ribosomal RNA", at positions 477 to 747 of the family's 1478-position model. The record is from RNAcentral.
CAGCACCUCAAGUGGUCAGGAUGAUUAUUGGGCCUAAAGCAUCCGUAGCCGGCGCUGUAAGUUUUCGGUUAAAUCUGUACGCUCAACGUACAGGCUGCCGGGAAUACUGCAGCGCUAGGGAGUGGGAGAGGUAGACGGUACUCGGUAGGAAGGGGUAAAAUCCUUUGAUCUAUUGAUGACCACCUGUGGCGAAGGCGGUCUGCCAGAACACGUCCGACGGUGAGGGAUGAAAGCUGGGGGAGCAAACCGGAUUAGAUACCCGAGUAGUCC